Molecule: ribosomal RNA, 351 nt
Filed under: uncultured bacterium
Lineage: Bacteria
Description: partial 16S ribosomal RNA
Rfam family: Bacterial small subunit ribosomal RNA
Source: RNAcentral
CCUACGGGGGGCAGCAGUAGGGAAUAUUGCUCAAUGGGGGAAACCCUGAAGCAGCAACGCCGCGUGGAGGAUGAAGGUUUUCGGAUUGUAAACUCCUUUUGUUAGAGAAGAUAAUGACGGUAGCUAACGAAUAAGCACCGGAGAACUCCGUGCCAGCAGCCGCGGUAAGACGGAGGGUGCAAGCGUUCCUCGGAAGCACUGGGCGUAACGAGCGCGUAGGCGGGAUCGCAAGUCAGAUGUGCAAGCCUAGGGCUUACCCAUAGAACUGCAUUUGAAACGGUUAUUCUUGAGUAUGGGAGAGGUAGGUUGAAUUCUUGGUGUCGGGGUAAACUCCGUAGCGAUCAAGAGGCA